RNAcentral lists this ribosomal RNA (488 nucleotides) under Salmonella enterica subsp. enterica serovar Muenchen. Its description in RNAcentral is "partial 23S ribosomal RNA". It matches the Rfam family "Bacterial large subunit ribosomal RNA", at positions 2261 to 2748 of the family's 2925-position model. RNAcentral also lists the same sequence under 1 other name. Lineage: Bacteria; Pseudomonadati; Pseudomonadota; Gammaproteobacteria; Enterobacterales; Enterobacteriaceae. The record is from RNAcentral.
GUGGGUAGUUUGACUGGGGCGGUCUCCUCCUAAAGAGUAACGGAGGAGCACGAAGGUUGGCUAAUCCUGGUCGGACAUCAGGAGGUUAGUGCAAUGGCAUAAGCCAGCUUGACUGCGAGCGUGACGGCGCGAGCAGGUGCGAAAGCAGGUCAUAGUGAUCCGGUGGUUCUGAAUGGAAGGGCCAUCGCUCAACGGAUAAAAGGUACUCCGGGGAUAACAGGCUGAUACCGCCCAAGAGUUCAUAUCGACGGCGGUGUUUGGCACCUCGAUGUCGGCUCAUCACAUCCUGGGGCUGAAGUAGGUCCCAAGGGUAUGGCUGUUCGCCAUUUAAAGUGGUACGCGAGCUGGGUUUAGAACGUCGUGAGACAGUUCGGUCCCUAUCUGCCGUGGGCGCUGGAGAACUGAGGGGGGCUGCUCCUAGUACGAGAGGACCGGAGUGGACGCAUCACUGGUGUUCGGGUUGUCAUGCCAAUGGCACUGCCCGGUAG